GGGCCUGGUGCUGAGACAGCAGUCACAGCUGUGAAAGCUGUGGUUGUUAUGGGUUUUGCAGCACAUCUUGGUCUGUCUAGUGUGUGAAAAUAAUUGGAAUGAUUGUCACCUUCUUUUAGGAAGCUAGAUAGAAAUCCUCUGGCUUCUGUGCUGAAGUCAUGCUUCUCAAGCAACUAACUGCUCUUGUUACUCUUAACAGCUGACUCCUCUUCUUUUUUCUCUGUUUCAGGGGUGUGAGAAAGAUUUGCACUUUUUUGUAAGUGAGAACAUCUGAAACAGGGACAGACAUCAAGAUUGGUUUUGGGAACAACAAAACUGUCAUCUUCCAAGAUCCAGCCUCCUGACCGUUGGGUGUGCUGUCUGAUCCAGCCAUUUAUAAUCUUCUGAAUCCAUUCAGUUUUACAGAAGCGUAUCGCUUGCAGAUUUAAGAAAAAAGACAAAGGGAAGUCUGGACCUGCAGGUCACUGAGACGAGAUCAGCAUGAGAGAAGAUCAUGGACUGCUGGAUGUUUUCCCACUGAGGGUUUCAGGCCUCUUCCAGUGACUGCGUAUGGCAGCUGAGCCAUGGGGUAAGC
Molecule: long non-coding RNA, 574 nt
Filed under: Anas platyrhynchos platyrhynchos (common mallard)
Lineage: Eukaryota; Metazoa; Chordata; Aves; Anseriformes; Anatidae
Description: lncRNA (ENSAPLG00000028486.1)
Source: RNAcentral